ACGGGGUAGGAUCACGUAGGUGACGUACCCCCAGGGCGAGGAUAGCCACGGGAAACUGUGGGUAAUACUCGAUAAUCUUCCCGGUUGUGAUGACUGGGAAGCAAUGGGUGUGAUUCCACCUGGGGAGCGGCUUACGCAGUAUCAGCUAGUUGGUGAGGUAACGGCUCACCAAGGCUUUGACGCUUAGGGGGUGUGAGAGCAUGGCCCCCACCACUGGCACUGAGACACUGGCCAGACACCUACGGGUGGCUGCAGUCGAGAAUCUUCGGCAAUGGACGAAAGUCUGACCGAGCGACGCCGCGUGCGGGAUGAAGGUCUUCGGAUUGUAAACCGCUGUCAGAGGGGAUGAAGUAUACGAGAGCUAUCUCUUGUAUUUGACAGAGCCUCAGAGGAAGCACGGGCUAAGUUCGUGCCAGCAGCCGCGGUAAUACGAACUGUGCGAACGUUAUUCGGAAUCACUGGGCUUAAAGGGUGCGUAGGUGGUUUUCUAAGUCAUGUGUGAAAUCUUCUGGCUCAACCAGAAAACUGCGCGUGAUACUGGAGAACUUGAGUGAGGUAGGGGUGUGUGGAAUUUCCUGUGUAGCGGUGAAAUG
Molecule: ribosomal RNA, 593 nt
Filed under: uncultured bacterium
Lineage: Bacteria
Description: bacterial SSU rRNA
Rfam family: Bacterial small subunit ribosomal RNA
Source: RNAcentral